Molecule: ribosomal RNA, 497 nt
Filed under: uncultured bacterium
Lineage: Bacteria
Description: partial 16S ribosomal RNA
Rfam family: Bacterial small subunit ribosomal RNA
Source: RNAcentral
GAUGAACGCUGGCGGCGUGCCUAAUACAUGCAAGUCGAGCGAACGGACGAGAAGCUUGCUUCUCUGAUGUUAGCGGCGGACGGGUGAGUAACACGUGGAUAACCUACCUAUAAGACUGGGAUAACUUCGGGAAACCGGAGCUAAUACCGGAUAAUAUUUUGAACCGCAUGGUUCAAAAGUGAAAGACGGUCUUGCUGUCACUUAUAGAUGGAUCCGCGCCGCAUUAGCUAGUUGGUAAGGUAACGGCUUACCAAGGCAACGAUGCAUAGCCGACCUGAGAGGGUGAUCGGCCACACUGGAACUGAGACACGGUCCAGACUCCUACGGGAGGCAGCAGUAGGGAAUCUUCCGCAAUGGGCGAAAGCCUGACGGAGCAACGCCGCGUGAGUGAUGAGGGUCUUCGGAUCGUAAAACUCUGUUAUUAGGGAAGAACAUAUGUGUAAGUAACUGUGCACAUCUUGACGGUACCUAAUCAGAAAGCCACGGCUAACUACGUG